This 1247-nucleotide long non-coding RNA is filed under the name Rattus norvegicus (Norway rat). RNAcentral's name for it is "long non-coding RNA NONRATT029827". The record is from RNAcentral. Lineage: Eukaryota; Metazoa; Chordata; Mammalia; Rodentia; Muridae.
CUCUUUUGUUCUUCCAGACAGGAGAUGUAGGGUACAGGGAGAUAACCUAUGACGGGACUAGAACAAUCUCUCCUCGUCCCUAAAGAUAACCCCUUCCCCUUCCCAGAAGGCAUUGUGAAUUCCUUAGUCACCUGCCUCAAGGCCCCAGUUACUUGCAAACAAGUCUCAGUUGCUCAUCCCUUCCCUGCGCAUUCCCAGUCCAGCCCGUUCCUUUUUGCCUCACCAGAUGCCCCACCCGAGAGAGGGUGUUGAUGACUGGUGACUGCAUUCUCAAGGGGUCCACCAAGUAGGUAACAGCAUCGAGGGCUGUUCCACGUAAUUUUUCCCUUCUGAUUCUCUCCCCGUAGGGUGCCACACCUACCUUCACAGCUGAGGCCUGGGCCCUAGCUGUGUGCAGCCACAUGGGAGGCAAGGCUUGGGGCUCUCCAGUGAUAGCCCAGGGUACUGGACACACUGCUGACCUGGAGGCUGCCCUCAGGACAGCCCGAGCUUAUGCACUCAACCAGCUCUGACGAGGCCCACCCAGGACACAGAGGAAUAGAAGGCAGGCAAGCAUCUGGAGCCACAUAAUCUUCCCGGAGGCGGGAGCAGAGGACCAGCGGCUGGAGGCCAGGUCUCCGAGCCAAAGCAGGGCACCAGGGCCACUGAGAGGCGAGCAGGAAGAAGUGUGGAUUGAGGGGCAGCAACCCCAGCAAAUGGAAGACCUGGGCUGCUGUGGUUGGGAGCACCCAUUCAAAGUGUUUCACCGGCUGCAGACUCAGCUCAGUGGUUAAGAGCACUUGUUCCUAGAAGGGACCCAGGUUCGGUUCCCAGCAUCCACAUGGAGGUUCCCCACCCCAUCAGGCACCAGAAAUACAUGUGGUACACAGACAUACAUGUAGGCACUCGUGUAUACAGACACUCAUACAUGCAAAGUAAUAAAACAAUUUUUUUUUCUUUUUUUCGGAGCUGGGGACCGAACCCAGGGCCUUGCGCUUGCUAAGCAAGCGCUCUACCGCGGAGCUAAAUCCCCAACCCCAUAAAACAAUUUUUUUAAAAAAGUGUUUCACAGAGCAUUAGAAGUCCUAGAAAAGUCUGUCUGUGGGAAAAAGAGUGGCCUGCCCGUCUGUGCUUCCGGAGGCCCAAGGUGAGCUCCCAGCAGCCAUAUAUGGCUCACAGUCGCUUUUAACUCCACCAGCAGCAAGCCUGUUGCCUUUUUCUGGAUUCUGUGGCCUUUGCAAAUAUGUGACAUAAAAAAAAAAAAAAAA